RNAcentral lists this ribosomal RNA (602 nucleotides) under Tricogena rubricosa. RNAcentral describes it as "eukaryotic LSU rRNA". It matches the Rfam family "Eukaryotic large subunit ribosomal RNA", at positions 389 to 819 of the family's 3401-position model. Lineage: Eukaryota; Metazoa; Arthropoda; Insecta; Diptera; Rhinophoridae. The record is from RNAcentral.
UCAAGAGUACGUGAAACUGCUUAGAGGUUAAGCCCGAUGAACCUGAAUAUCCGUUAUAGAAAAUUCAUCAUUAUGAUUUUAAUAUAUUUAAAAAUAUUAUAAUAAUGGUGUGCAUUUUUUUUAUAAAAGGACAUUGUAAUCUAUUAAUAUAAAUAAUAUUUAUCAUAAGAUCAAUUUGCGUUAGUUUAUUCAAAUUAUUUUGCUUGCAAUUUAAUAUCGAGUAAAUGCAUUUGAUUUGAUAAAGUGUUGAUAGAUUUAUUAUAUAUAGUGCUUAAAUAUAUUAUAUUUUAUAAUAGCAUAUAAAUCAUUGAUUUUUAUGUUUAUUAUAUGCACUUGUAUGAUUAACAAUGCGAAAGAUUCAGGAUACCUUCGGGACCCGUCUUGAAACACGGACCAAGGAGUCUAACAUAUUUGCAAGUUAUUGGGUAUAAAAACCUAAUAGCGAAAUUAACAUAACUUAUUUUAAUGGGAUUAGUUUUUAGCCUAUUUUUAAUAGUCUAUUAAUUCAAUCCCGGGGCGUUCUAUACAGUUAUGUAUAAUAAUAUUUAUAUUAUUUAUGCCACUAACUAGAGCGUACCUUGAGCAUAUAUGCUGUGACCCGA